AAAUUUUUGAAGUUAUUUUAGCUUUUUUGUUGGGUGAAAUCAGUAUAAAGAGUUUUUCCUUCUUUAAAAAUUAAUAGGAAUUAAAAAACUCUGAUUUAAAACCAGGAUUAGAUACCCUGUUAUUCUGAGUUAUAUUUAGACAGGGUAGUAAAAGUUGUUCUUCAAACCCAAAGAUUUUGGCGGCACUUUAUCCAAAUAGAGGAGCUUGUCCCUUAAUCGAUAGUCCCCGUUUUAUCUUUCCUCUGUUUGUAGAGCUUGUAUACCGCCGUUGUCAGAUUACUUCUAGAGAAUGUUUUCAAAUUAAAAGAUUUUUUUACUUCAGGUCAAGGUGCAGUUUAUAUAGAGGUGGAGGUGAGCUACAAUUUUCUUUACAAAUAUGGAUACUAAGUCUCGAAGCUGGUUGAAGGUGGAUUUAUUAGUAAAGUAA
Molecule: ribosomal RNA, 427 nt
Filed under: Daphnia longispina
Lineage: Eukaryota; Metazoa; Arthropoda; Branchiopoda; Diplostraca; Daphniidae
Description: partial 12S ribosomal RNA
Source: RNAcentral